UCGGAUAUGGUGUAACGGCUAACAUUGCCGCCUCUCACUCGUGUAGCUGGUAUCGCGGCAGCUCGGGGUUCGAUUCCCCGUAUCCGAA
This is a non-coding RNA of Russula dissimulans, 88 nucleotides long. Lineage: Eukaryota; Fungi; Basidiomycota; Agaricomycetes; Russulales; Russulaceae. The record is from the annotation of a GenBank genome assembly.